Molecule: long non-coding RNA, 859 nt
Organism: Lampris incognitus (smalleye Pacific opah)
Lineage: Eukaryota; Metazoa; Chordata; Actinopteri; Lampriformes; Lampridae
Exons: 2
Source: RefSeq, a predicted model, not a curated record
UUUCCUCCUUAGAGUGUCUGGGCUAAGCCUUAGUGAUAGGGUGAGGAGCUCGGACAUCCGGAGGGAGCUCGGAGUAGAGCCGCUGCUCCUUCGCGUUGAAAGGAGCCAGUUGAUGUGGUUCGGGCAUCUGAUUAGGAUGCCUCCAUGGCGCCUUCCUUUGGAGGUUAACCGGGCACGGCCAAAUGGGAGGAGACCCCGGGGUAGAUCCAGAACUCACUGGAGGGACUACAUGUCCAAUCUGGCCUGGGAACGCCUUGGGAUCCCCCAGGAGGAGCUGGAGGAUGUUGCUGGGGAGAGGGAUGUCUGGAGUGCCCUACUUAGCUUGCUGCCACCACGACCCGACCCCCGAGAAGAGGUGAAGACCAAUGAAUGAGUGAAAAGUGAGGGGUUUCGCCAGGGGGACGUAACACAUGGGAGGAUCACGCUAUUCCCCCCAGUUCCCUCUCUCUCCCGAACAGGCGCCCCGACUGACCAGAGGAGGAGCUAGUGUAGGGACCAGGACACAUACCCACAUCCGGCUUCCCACCCGCAGACACGGCCAAUUGUGUCUGUAGGGAUGCCUGACCAAGCCGGAGGAGCAGUGAAGAUGGUGGACUAUACAUUUAGACAUUUCUUCAAUCAAACUUUCAAUAAACAGACUGACAUACACGCUUAGGAUGAAUAGCAAAAUACUGAUGAAAUAUAAUUAAGUUUACAUGUGUUGGGUAUUUUUCUAUCACUGGUGCAUUAUCACACUGAAGAUUGAGAAAUGAUUUUGUCAAUGUGGUGUGGUACCAAAGAACUUGCAAGCACUGGAAAAAAAAACAGUGUUUCAUACACAAAAUGUAAUGCUUGAAAUCACCUUUCAUAUAGUAGCUAU